UGGGCAACCUGCCCUCAGCUCUGGGAUAACCCCGGGAAACCGGGGCUAAUACCGGAUACGACCUCCGCGGGCAUCUGCGGAGGUGGAAAGGUUUUCCGGCUGAGGAUGGGCCCGCGGCCUAUCAGCUAGUUGGUGGGGUGAUGGCCCACCAAGGCGACGACGGGUAGCCGGCCUGAGAGGGCGACCGGCCACACUGGGACUGAGACACGGCCCAGACUCCGUACGGGAGGCA
Molecule: ribosomal RNA, 232 nt
Filed under: uncultured bacterium
Lineage: Bacteria
Description: partial 16S ribosomal RNA
Rfam family: Bacterial small subunit ribosomal RNA
Source: RNAcentral